GCACACAACAGGAAGGGGCUUUUAAUUAUGCUGUAAGCCAAAGCAGUCGUGGAAGCAGGAUGGAUGGAUGGAUAGAUGGAUGGAUGGAUUGAUGGAUGGAUUUUGAUCAUUGUGCUUACAAUGCAGCUCCAGACAGUGGGGCAUUGGUCAUUGUAUAAAUUAUUGCUAUCCAGCUUUAAAAAUGAAUGAAUAUAAAAAAAAAGCAGCAAGUAAUAUUGUUGUUGUUUUUUCUUUUCUUUCUUUAUUUGAGUAAACCUUAAACCAUUUUCCAAAACAAAGAUCUACAUAAACGUCAGUUUGACAGAAGAGGCCAGUCAAGUGGGUGAGCCAUGAGAAUGGACAGGGAUGGGCAAAAUGUGUAGAUGUUACAGAUAAAACAUGGUGAUGUAACUAAACACAGUAUGACACAAAACUAAGUUAUUACUACUCGCUUACGAUAAGACAAGUAAUUGUGUGUAAAGUCAGGGACACAUUACUGACCAGUGAUAUGAAGUAAGGAUGGAUCAAAAGUUUGUGUCAGUGUUCUGACACUUUAACUUACUGUGGAUGGCAUAUGGAUAAAAUGUCUUUUAUUUCUUCAGUGACGAUAUAAUAUGGACAUUUACAUGCUGAUCAAGCUUCUACUUUAGUGGAUCUGUUCACCAGUUCAUUGCUGUUUAACUUCUGUAAAUGUUGUCCUGUGUUGUGUGAACAAUACACUGCCCCUGAGCUCCUUAGUCCAAACUAGUCAACUACGUGUUGGCAACUAAUGUUACUGUAAGCAGAAGUUAGCAGUUAGCAUUAUAAUUAAAUCACAGAGAGUUGUUUAGGCGGAGCAGCCAGAGGACAUCAGAAAACAUUUUCUCCAUAUAGCUGCUAUUGUGUGUGAUGUAUAAAAUUUCAUGAGUACUGCUUAAUUGACUGAGUGCCGAAUUGUUUCAAACAAUUUUUGAUUUUUUCCUGUUUUUUUAAUGUUUUCUUAGAGCUAUGGUUUAAGUAUAUAACAAAAAUGUAGACUGGAAUACUAUGCAUGGUCUGAAACAUUUAAGUUGAUGUAAUAUGAACAUUGGUAACUGUUAAUCACUGGAAGCAGAACCCAGUUUAAGGUGAAAUAUAAUAUAAUCAAGACAAUAUAAUGCUGUAAAACAGGGAGACCACAAUGUUUGAGCAUCCAGGAUGGGAGGUGUUGGGCACCUGCACUUGUAGUAGUAAGACUUGGGAGUAUGGUCUGUGUUAAAGUGUGAAACUUACAAUAUAACUGUGUGAAACAAUGUGAAACUUACAAGACUUUUAGAAAAUGUACCAUAAUAACUGUGUGAAACCUAUAACAGUGUGAAAUAUAUAAAACCUUAAAAAAAUACAGUUGAAGAAAUCUGUGACAUGAUGGUGUAAGAAAAGGUAAUAAAGGGUUUUUAAAAAAUAGUAUAAUUGUAAAACAGAAUCUAAUGAUGUCAUCCAGUGAAGAAUAAAACAAAAGAAAACAUCUUGGCCUCAAUAGACCAAGAGCAGUAGGUGUAAGACGAGACACCAUUAAGAAUGGAAAAUCCCCAAAACAUUGGUCGAGCCUGAGGGUCCACCAUUAUGUCACAGAGAAAGUUUGAUGAUAAUAGGCUGGACAAACACAAACAGGCAGGACAUAUGAAAUUUGCAUAAAGGUAAUAAUAAUUUGCAGAAAGCCUGAGUCAGCGAAUUCAGUCAUUACCAUCAUGACUCAGGCUUUGUAUUGUCUGUCAAGAUAAUAAAAGCUCUAUCUGCUGCCAGUCCUGAUGAAUCCUGUGUGUUAUUGCCUGCUGAAGUAGAGUAACACUAUUUGACCUGCAGCUGAAAUUAGACAAGUUGCAUCCAGUCUGCAGAGCAAGAGACAAGUUGAAGACAACAUGUGCCAUAAACAGCUGCACACUUCUUAUGGGAGAUGGUACCUGUUCAAGUAGGUUACAUAGUGCAGUGGAAAGGAAGGAAGAAGUGUUUAGACUUCAGAGGCGUCAUUCAUAAGGUUUCUUUAAUAUUGGAUUUGUACUACCAAUUGAGCUAUUUCAGUCAUUUUGCCAUCCGUUUCUUGAUACUUCUGAAAUUUUUUAUACCAAGUAAAAGAUAUCAUAGAUGUCAAACAUUGUCAUAAUCCCCAACUAUUACAGCUAGAAUGCUGAAGGUGAUCAGCUUUUCCCACUCAGUUGCUCAUAAUUACACUUUUUAACCACUUUUUUAAUAUCUGACAGAUGUGUUUUAGUGCGUUUAAGCCUUCAUAGCAAAUGAGGGAUAAUGUAAUGGAAAAUUUAUAUUACAUGAUUGUGUGUUCUUUUAUAACCAUAUAUAGCCAUGUUUGAUCUCAGUAAUAUUCAAAAAGUUUUUGAAGUAUAACACUGUGUGCCUUAUAAUCUUGUUUGGUUUCACUCAGUACCUUGCACUUAGAAAUCUUUCUCUCAUUUAUGCAAGUUGUUUGAAGAAGUAGUUUUCUGAUGUAUAAACUUGACCUUGGUUCUCACGGUCCAGCAGAGCUUGUUAGUGAGGUUUGAUAGGGAUGAACACACUCCAUUGUAACCACCUGGUACAGUUAGAUAAGUAAAUCAUAAUAAUGACGAAUACUCCUUAGAAAUGUAUAAGAAUCAGUGUGGGACUGCCCCACCCUGAACAUUUUCUGCAGACUGUCUUGUGCAUUUGCAGAACUGCCCCUCUUGCAAGAAUAAAAUGAAAAAAACCUUUAAGGACCAAUUGUUUGACUCAAGAUCCUUAUUUUGUGUCGGUAAAUUGCUUCCUAGAAAUUUCAGCAACAAACUUGGCGUUGUCGGCAGGAUCUCAGGCUGAUCGCUCAGGACCCAGAGAAGGUGACUGAUCAUCUGAGACUGAUCAAAUUUGUCUCACCUCCACCUCAGUUCAUUCGAGACGGGAGGACCCUCUCCGUCGACCUAGAAGCUGUCACCUUGAGGUCCAACAAACUCAGAUUAACAGAAAACAUCCUAAAUUCAGGACGACAGGUUGCCAGUGCACAGCCCUCAGCGGCCUCAGGUCCUCUACAUGACAUUAAGCCUGGAGAUUUCGUGGUGGUAAAGAACUUCAGGGGAAAGUCUUGGAGACAUCAUCGCUGGUUGGGA
Molecule: long non-coding RNA, 3068 nt
Organism: Larimichthys crocea (large yellow croaker)
Lineage: Eukaryota; Metazoa; Chordata; Actinopteri; Sciaenidae
Exons: 2
Source: RefSeq, a predicted model, not a curated record